GACAUCCGUUGGUUUUAUAGAUCGUGAGG
RNAcentral lists this transfer RNA (29 nucleotides) under Juniperus communis (common juniper). RNAcentral's name for it is "partial tRNA-Leu". RNAcentral also lists the same sequence under 1 other name. The record is from RNAcentral. Lineage: Eukaryota; Viridiplantae; Streptophyta; Pinopsida; Cupressales; Cupressaceae.